UUAAAACUUCAUGAGCUAAACAUUAAAGACUUAAUUCAAGAUGAAAAUGGCUCUCGUCUUGUUUCUUCAGCAGUGUUGUUGUGAUAUUCUCCAAGGAGAGUGACAAGUCCCUUAUCAGCCUUUCGGUUCCCGGGCUCACGUUCCUCUGACCUUCUUCUUACUUCUAGAAAUAAGCAGUGAAACAAAACAGCAGCCAAAAGGUCCUGGCAGAGGCUUCUGAAGACAGAAACUGUACAGUAGGUGUGGCGUGCCUCUCCUCUGGGUAAUAACACUGCAAGGCAGUUCAUCCUGGAAACAUCCUAGUCAGCCAGAGGCUGCUGGACCUGCCUGUCUCACAGCUCGGAGCCGUACCUGACGCAGCAUUCCAGGGCUGUGCUGCACUGGGGUUGUCCAGCCCCAAGCUCCCCCAGAGCCUUUCCUUUGGGAACAGCCUGCCAAAUCAAAGCUACCCCUAUUUGUAGUUAGCAGUGUGAGAUUUUUUGAAGAAAUGGAGCAG
Molecule: long non-coding RNA, 496 nt
Filed under: Gallus gallus (chicken)
Lineage: Eukaryota; Metazoa; Chordata; Aves; Galliformes; Phasianidae
Description: lncRNA (ENSGALG00010006539.1)
Source: RNAcentral